Gracilinanus agilis (Agile Gracile Mouse Opossum) is the source of this 73-nucleotide non-coding RNA. NCBI's taxonomy places the organism in Eukaryota, Metazoa, Chordata, Mammalia, Didelphimorphia, Didelphidae. The record is from the annotation of a RefSeq genome assembly.
GCCCAGCUAGCUUAGUUGGUAGAGCAUGGGACUCUUAAUCCCAGGGUCCUGGGUUUGAUUCCCACAUUGGGCG